Malaclemys terrapin pileata is the source of this 3413-nucleotide long non-coding RNA. RefSeq lists it as uncharacterized. NCBI's taxonomy places the organism in Eukaryota, Metazoa, Chordata, Testudines, Emydidae. The record is from RefSeq and is a predicted model, not a curated record. The transcript is spliced from 3 exons.
UCUCUCCUGUGUGAAUACCCUGUAGGGAGAGAUCCUUAGUUUAUGUGCCGCUAGCGCGGACAGGGCAUCCUCCUCCCUGUGUGUGUGAUUGGAAAAUGGGUGGGGGACAGUCUAAGGAUUCCCUCUCACCCACUAAGGGUACCCCAGCUUAUUUCAUGUACGUACAUUAUGGUACUAAAACCUGCAGGUAUUUAGAGAAUUGAAAUCAUUACACGCGUGAAAAAUUCAUCUAAACAAUGCCCACUAGAAGGUACCUUCAAUCUAGAUAAGAUCAUACAUCUCAGAGGAGCUUUUAAUCACCAAAAAGCCUCUGACACACAAUGGGAGCAAUUUGUCUAUUGAGGAAAGGAACGGGUUAAUUUGAAAUUCAGCUUGGUCCAGAGAUAAAGAGAAAGUUAAUCUGCGUUCAAGGUCAAGAAUCAAUGCAGACCAGGCUAAGUACAAAGAAAAACUGCUUUCGGCCCCAGCUGACUGUGAAAAAAUAUAGACAUAGUCAAACCAAAGGCAAUACAAGUUACAGUGCUGAGAUUACAUUUGCAAAGCUUAACUGUCCAGUGAGAUCCAACAGUCUGCCUUUGCGACCCUGGAGCCGGCGUGGUUUGGGGAUGCUGAAGAAGCCACAGGCAGCCGGCCUGGACUGGAAUCACUGAAAAGACGCCCCAGGAGACCUCAGGGUGUAAAAGAACUGCCCUCCCAAGAGAGGAAGCAAGUUGGAGAUUGCACAGCACCUUCUCUGAACGUUAUACACAGACGUGGCCAGUCUGGACGUACGUGUAUCAUCAGAGAAAACGGAUGCCAGCUGAACAGCAUUCAAUGUACCAUGCAUUUACUGGUUAAAAGAAGCCAAGAAGGGGAGAAGGAAAAAGAACAGAACGAGUUAACUGAGGAAAAAUAGCUAGCAAGCUCAGUCCAAAGAUAAGAUGCUGGCACCAUCCAAGGACACUGCCCACAGCUAAGACUUGGCUGAUAGCCAAGAAAAGGGGGGCCUGAAUGUGCCCAAGCAACUAUGAGAUCUGCAAAACACUGCCAGGCAUUAAUGAAAUGUGUUAGGUUUCUUUUCUCACAGAUAAAAGAAGUGCUACCCAAAGACCCUAGCAGCCCUGCCAUUCAUUGAAACAAGGAGACUGAGUCUACGUAAAGUCCAUCAACGAAAGACUGCUUUGGCUCCACACUGGAAAGGCCCUUUCCAAGUCCUGUUAACCACCACCACUAUGAAGUGCCAAGGACUACCUGCCUGGACCCAUGCUUCUCACUGUAAAAAGACCCCUCCAUCUCGGGAGGACUCUCCGACUGAUAAGCCUAUUUCUCCUUCUAGCUCUGCUGUGUCUUCUGGACAGCAGGAAAAAGAAAGAAAGAAAAAAAAAAGACAAGGUGAAGUGCUAGUAACCUCUCCCUUGUCCACUGACAGACCUACUGUGCCUCUGGAUUUUUCUAGAAGAAGCAAAACCAUUACAGGGUGAUGUGCUAGUAACCUCUCCCCUGUAUGAUGCUAAACCACACUGUUUCAGGAAAAGAGAAGAAGGAACACUUACUUCAUUGAAACCACAAAGUCCAGGGAUUCCUGACUACAAGAGACAUUAAGAACUGACCCUGGUGAAGAAACAAAGAAUUAUACACUGGCAGGAAGAAACUUGUGGGACCCAUGCUUGGGAACGUGGUAUUGAUUGGAUUUUGGGGUUUAUUCUACAGGCUGCGCCCUGUGUUUUGGAUAAGUCCUUCAGCAUGUAUUGCCCUCCCUAAUUGGAUUUUAAAUGAUAAGUACCAAAGGCACCUUGUUGCCAUUGCCCCUGCCAUCUCCUCCAUUACACUAUUACCCCUGUAACACAUCCAAAUACAGACAAUGCCAUAUAUUUGAUAAAACCAAUGACUAAGGCCUUCACACUUUAGUGAUUUAUUUAAAUAUUGUUUGAAAAAAUAUAUUUUUAAGGUUCAGGAUAUCCCAUAUAAGCGAACAAUUGAAUGGAUCAGUGGAGAUAAAAGUAUAUGAUAUCACUACCAGUGAACCCCAAGAAUUUAUAAUUGUUCACAGGGGGCUGCCAUUAGAUUAGCACAACAGAGGGCUUGGGUUAUUUCCUCUAGAAAGAAGAGAGACUUGACCGGAUCCCUUUGGGAUGGGGCCAAUAAUGCAGCAGCAGUUUGGAAUAUUUUUAAGAACCAAGAACAUGAUGAGAAAUUGGGGCAACUAGAGAAGGCCAUUGGCCUUGUUUCUGGAGCACAACUAACCCAGGUACAGGCUGGAGUUGGUGUGUUACAUGUUAUUUCCGCCCUUAGUUCAAUGACCCAGAAGUUGCUGACAGAGAUGGUAUUGAAUAUCACUGAGGCUGGGAAGGCAUUGCAGUGGGAUCUAGCAUGCUCAGAAAUUCAGGAUUUCCUGAAUGACCAGCUAAUGGCCAUUCGGAAUGAUCUAGAGCAUCAGGCUUGGCCCACUGCCCUUACAGACACAUCAGGAGUACCAUCUGAUCUGUGGCCAUGGAGACACACUUGGAAACUUUCUGGGUGGAAGUGUGGACGUUCUCAGUGCUCCUUCCAAACAUAUGGACCGGUUCAGGGGGUGUGGGCUCCCACAUACCGAAUCCUGCCAGGUCCAUGGGAGAGGUUGCAUGUGGGAUUGGGUAAUUCACCGAGACAUCUGGGAAAUUAGACCUCCUGGUAUGCCCAAUCGAUUUUUAGUCAGUGCUCCUGGGAUUACAUCUGACAUUUGGAUGGGGUUAGGGAGUCAAUGGACAUUUUGGCCGUUACAACCCCCACAGCUUCAGUGUAUCCGUAAACUGAAGCCAGGAGAAGUUGUUACUCUUCAUGACUACGUUUGCUAGGAGGGUAGGGGACAAGGAACUACCCUGACAGGACACUUAUUUUUUUAAGCUAAUGAUAGCUGUGUGUAUGUUAAAGCCACCAUAUUGCAAGACAUACAUUUUAAUCUCAUUACCACUGCAGGCAAUCAUAUUAUUUACUGGCCUGCAGAUAGAAUUUUGCAAGUAGUCCUUAGGUUCCAGAUACCCUUUAAUUGGACUAGUUUAGUACCUGAUAGAUUUCAAAAUUUGCUUUCACUGUUACCAGAGGUUCAGAAAAUCUCUGAAGUACAAGGGCAAAUUCACAUGCUUCAAAAUAUGUAUCAAGUUAAAAAGUAUGCCUUUCAGACAGCUUAUAGAGUAUCCACCUUAUGUACUAAGUAUGAUGUAUUGUGUUAUAUGACUAAGAUUGUACAACAACCCCAUCAUAUUAUUGCUAUGGGAAUCUUAUUGCUUGUGUUGUGCAGGAGUAUGUUAUUGUUGUUGUAAAGGACGUAAUAAUAGUAAUACCUUUCAUGUCCAUGCUCAUCAUGCAUUGUCAUUACAUCCAAUCAAAACCCCUAAGGUUGAAGCAUCUGAUGUAGAAUCUGAAUUCCGAGAUUUAAUGCAAAUAGAGAUUUGAAA